CUUCCUGUGAAUUGAAGCCUGAGGAAGAGGCGCCUCUGCGCAUGCGCAGUUGAUUCGCGCGUCAUCGCCAGACAAGCUCGCUAAUUGUGUGUUCCUCACCGUUCACAGGUGAACUUGAUUUGACUCAGGGCGCAGGCCGACUCGGCACCUGCUUGGCGGCGCGUGACCACUGGGGGGCCCCAAAGAGCCACUGGCGGGCAACUAUGUACCAGUAGUAAGGGAGAAGAGACUCAUGCCAGGACCCGAGUGCGUCACUGCCCCUGGUUUUAGCCACACCCGGAAAUCUUCAAAGCAGUUUCAAGAUGGAUCCCCACAAUUGGGUCUUACAAGCCCGCAAAAGCGGAAUAUUCCGGGGGCCGGUCCGACGCCGGCGUGUCCAGCGAACCCGGUUCACGGCGCCGUCGAGGGCCGCUUCUUCUUCUUCUUCUUCUUUCCGUCAUCUCUUCAGUGCUGCCCUCGGCAUGCCGUGGCAGAACGCGGUACUGCACUUUUCAGGGGAGCGACUCAAAAUUAGGGAGGUUCUUUCAAAAU
This is a long non-coding RNA of Syngnathoides biaculeatus (alligator pipefish), 531 nucleotides long. RefSeq lists it as uncharacterized. The record is from RefSeq and is a predicted model, not a curated record. The transcript has 4 exons. NCBI's taxonomy places the organism in Eukaryota, Metazoa, Chordata, Actinopteri, Syngnathiformes, Syngnathidae.